AUGCAUCUGAAGAGUCCCAAAUAAGAUGAAACGUGCGUCUUGGAU
This 45-nucleotide non-coding RNA is filed under the name Schistosoma margrebowiei. Lineage: Eukaryota; Metazoa; Platyhelminthes; Trematoda; Strigeidida; Schistosomatidae. The record is from RNAcentral.